RNAcentral lists this ribosomal RNA (132 nucleotides) under Lachnospiraceae bacterium. Its description in RNAcentral is "partial 23S ribosomal RNA". It matches the Rfam family "Bacterial large subunit ribosomal RNA", at positions 2793 to 2925 of the family's 2925-position model. The record is from RNAcentral. Lineage: Bacteria; Bacillati; Bacillota; Clostridia; Lachnospirales; Lachnospiraceae.
CCCCCCUCAAGAUGAGAUAUCCCUGACACAAGUCAAUAAGACCCCUUGAAGACGACGAGGUAGAUAGGCUUGAGGUGGAAGUGCAGUAAUGCAUGGAGCUGACAAGUACUAAUCGGUCGAAGGCUUAACUUA